UAUUAUAUUUAAUGUAAAUUAUUUGCUGGAGUAGUAGUAGAGGGUUCUUAAAACUCAAAGAAUUUGGCGGUAUUUUAGUCUUUUCAGAGGAAUCUGUUCUGUAAUUGAUAAUACACGAUUUGUUUUACUUGAUUUUGUUAUCAGUUUAUAUACCGCCGUCAUAAGAUUAUUUUUAUUUAAGAAUUGAAUUUUCCCGUUUUUUAAUUAAAUAAUAUGUCAGGUCAAGGUGUAGCUUAUAAUUAAGUGGAGAUGGAUUACAAUAAUUUUAAUUAUUAUGAAUAAUUAUUUUAGGUUAAUUUGAAAGUGGAUUUGAUUGUAAAUUUAUUUUUGAUUUUUAUAUUGAUUAGAGCUCUAGAAUGUGUACAUAUCGCCCGUCGCUCUCGUUAUUAAAAUGAG
Molecule: ribosomal RNA, 396 nt
Filed under: Pixibinthus sonicus
Lineage: Eukaryota; Metazoa; Arthropoda; Insecta; Orthoptera; Gryllidae
Description: partial 12S ribosomal RNA
Source: RNAcentral